This 812-nucleotide ribosomal RNA is filed under the name uncultured fungus. RNAcentral's name for it is "SSU rRNA". It matches the Rfam family "Eukaryotic small subunit ribosomal RNA", at positions 564 to 1407 of the family's 1831-position model. The record is from RNAcentral. Lineage: Eukaryota; Fungi.
GUGCCAGCAGCCUGCGGUAAUUCCAGCUCCAAUAGCGUAUAUUAAAGUUGUUGUGGUUAAAAAGCUCGUAGUUGAACCUUGGGCCUGGCUGGCCGGUCCGCCUCACCGCGUGCACUGGUCCGGCCGGGCCUUUCCCUCUGUGGAACCCCAUACCCUUCACUGGGCGUGGCGGGGAAACAGGACAUUUACUUUGAAAAAAUUAGAGUGCUCCAGGCAGGCCUAUGCUCGAAUACAUUAGCAUGGAAUAAUAAAAUAGGACGCGCGGUUCUAUUUUGUUGGUUUAUAGGACCGCCGUAAUGAUUAAUAGGGACAGUCGGGGGCAUCAGUAUUCAACUGUCAGAGGUGAAAUUCUUGGAUCAGUUGAAGACUAACUACUGCGAAAGCAUUUGCCAAGGAUGUUUUCAUUAAUCAGGAACGAAAGUUAGGGGAUCGAAGACGAUCAGAUACCGUCGUAGUCUUAACCAUAAACUAUGCCGACUAGGGAUCGGACGGUGUUAUUCAUGACCCGUUCGGCACCUUACGAGAAAUCAAAGUGCUUGGGCUCCAGGGGGAGUAUGGUCGCAAGGCUGAAACUUAAAGAAAUUGACGGAAGGGCACCACCAGGGGUGCAGCCUGCGGCUUAAUUUGACUCAACACGGGGAAACUCACCAGGUCCAGACACAAUAAGGAUUGACUGAUUGAGAGCUCUUUCUUGAUUUUGUGGGUGGUGUGCAUGGCCGUCUAGUGGUGGGGGUGACUGUCUGCUUAAUUGCGAUAACGAACGAGACCUUAACCUGCUAAAUAGCCCGCAUUGCUCCGGCAGUGCCGCUGGC